RNAcentral lists this ribosomal RNA (472 nucleotides) under Phyllium chenqiae. RNAcentral describes it as "partial large subunit ribosomal RNA". It matches the Rfam family "Bacterial large subunit ribosomal RNA", at positions 1923 to 2615 of the family's 2925-position model. Lineage: Eukaryota; Metazoa; Arthropoda; Insecta; Phasmatodea; Phylliidae. The record is from RNAcentral.
UUUAAUGGCCGCGGUAUAUUGACCGUGCAAAGGUAGCAUAAUCAUUAGUUUAUUAAUUGUUAGCUUGAAUGAAUGGUUUUACGAAAUAUUAGCUGUCUCAUUUUUAUUGUUAGAAUUUAAAUUUUGAGUUAAAAGGCUUAAAUUUCUUUAAAGGACGAGAAGACCCUAUAGAUCUUCAUUUUUGUAAUUAUAUAUUUUUUUAGAUUAUUAUUAUUUUAUGAAUUUUUAGUUGGGGUGACGUUAGGAUAUAAUUAACUCCUUUUUUUAUUUUUCAUUUGUUUAUGUUUAAUUGACCUUUUAUUAUUGUUUAUAAGAUAAAGAUACCUUAGGGAUAACAGCGUAAUUUUUAUUGAGAGUUCAUAUUGACAUAGAAGAUUGCGACCUCGAUGUUGAAUUAAGAUUAUUAUUUGGUGUAGAAGCUUAAUUAUAAGGUCUGUUCGACCUUUAAAAUCUUACAUGAUCUGAGUUCAAA